GACGAACGCUGGCGGCGUGCUUAACACAUGCAAGUCGAACGGGAAGUCCUGGUUUUUGUGGGGUACGCGAGUGGCGAACGUGUGAGUAACACGUUAGUAACCUGCCCUUAACUGUAGGAUAACUUCAGUAAACUGUGGCUAAAACCGCAUAAGAGCUACUGCGGCUUGGUGGGGGCUGGAAAGUUUCGGCGGUUGGGGAUGGACUCGCGGCUUAUGAGCAUGUUGUUGGGGUAGGGGCUUACCACGGGUUUGACGGGUAGCCGGCCUGACCGGGUGACCGGCCACAAUAGGACUGCGGUGAGGCCCAGCCGACUCCGGGAGGCAGCAGUGGGGAGGAUUGCACCAUAAGCGGCGGACUGAUGAAGCAGCGCCGCGUGCGGGAUGAAGGACUUCGGGUUGUAAUCAACUUCCGUCUGUGACGAAGAGUGAGUGACGGUAAUGGGUAAAGAAGCACCGGCUAACUCCGUG
Molecule: ribosomal RNA, 468 nt
Filed under: uncultured bacterium
Lineage: Bacteria
Description: partial 16S ribosomal RNA
Rfam family: Bacterial small subunit ribosomal RNA
Source: RNAcentral